This 1353-nucleotide ribosomal RNA is filed under the name Triticum aestivum (bread wheat). RNAcentral describes it as "partial small subunit ribosomal RNA". The record is from RNAcentral. Lineage: Eukaryota; Viridiplantae; Streptophyta; Magnoliopsida; Poales; Poaceae.
AUGGCCAUGCCGCCGGCGGAGAAGGUGAUCAUGGUGGACGCCAACCCCUCCAAGAACGGGCACGGGGACAAGCUUGAUGACCUGCCUGUCGCCGAUGAAACCUCACACCAGAUUGGCGUUGAUCCAUGGUACCAGGUGGCGUUCGUGCUGACCACCGGGGUGAACAGCGCCUACGUGCUGGGCUACUCCGGCUCGCUGAUGGUCCCGCUGGGCUGGGUGGGCGGCACCGUGGGCCUCCUCCUGGCCGCCGCCGUGUCCAUGUACGCCAACACGCUGCUGGGCCGCCUCCACCUGCUCGGCGGCAAGCGUCACAUCAGGUACAGGGACCUCGCCGGCCACAUCUACGGGCCCAACAUGUACAAGAUCACCUGGGCGAUGCAGUACGUCAACCUCUUCAUGAUCAACACAGGCUUCAUCAUAAUAGCAGGGCAAGCACUCAAGGCACUGUAUUUGCUGGUGAGUGCCGACGGGGCUAUGAAGCUGCCCUACUGCAUCGCGGUGUCCGGGUUCGUGUGCGCGCUCUUCGCCUUCGGGAUCCCGUACCUGUCGGCCCUGAGGAUCUGGCUGGGCUUCUCCACGAUCUUCAGCCUCACCUACAUCUUUGCGGCCUGCGUGCUGUCGCUCAAGGACGGCUUCCGCACGCCGCCUCGGGACUACAGCAUCCAAGGAGACCCGUCGAGCAGGGUGUUCACCACCAUCGGCGCGGCGGCGAGCCUGGUGUUCGCCUACAACACCGGCAUGCUGCCGGAGAUCCAGGCCACCGUGCAGGCACCCGUGGUGAAGAACAUUGAGAAGGCGCUGUGGUUCCAGUUCACCGCCGGCUCCGUGCCCCUUUACGCCAUCAUAGUCAUCGGCUACUGGGCCUACGGCAACCAGACCACCACCUACCUGCUCAACAACGUCACUGGGCCCGUGUGGAUCAAGGCAGUUGCCAACCUCGCUGCCUUCCUCCAGACAGUCAUAGCACUACACAUCUUCGCGUCGCCCAUGUACGAGUACCUGGACACCCGGUUCGGGAGCAAGGUGGGAGGCCCGUUCGCGAUGCACAACGUGAUCUUCAGGGUCGGGGUGAGGGGAGGGUACCUGGCCGUCAACACGCUCAUGGCGGCGGCGCUGCCCUUCCUGGGGGACUUCAUGAGCCUCACGGGGGCGCUCAGCACGUUCCCGCUCACCUUCGUGCUCGCCAACCACAUGUACCUCGUCGCCAACAGGCAGCGCCUCUCCUCGCUGCAGAAGUCGUGGCACUGGCUCAACAUCGUCUUCUUCACCGUCCUCUCCAUCACCGCCGCCAUCGCCGCGCUCAGGCUCAUCGCCCGCGACUCCAAAACAUACCAUAUCUUCGCCGAUGUCUGA